GCCCGCUAGAUAUGUACACCUUACAAUCAUUCCAUACAACAAAUAUAGUAGACCUAUUGCAUAUAGUAUGAAAAAAAAAAGACCAAAACACAAAAAUUUAACUAUAACCACUGAACCAUGAAAAUGAGGUCAAGGUCACAUGACAUCUGCCCGCUAGACAUGUACACCUUACAAUCAUUCCAUAUAACAAAUAUAAUAGACCUAUUGCAUAUAGUAUGAAAAAAACAGACCAAAACACAAAAAUUUAACUAUAACCACUGAACCAUGAAAAUGAGGUCAAGGUCAGAUGACACCUGCCAGUUGGACAUGUACACCUUACAGUCCUUCCAUACACCGAAUAUACUAGCCCUAUUGCUUAUAGUAUCUGAGAUAUGAACUUGACCACCAAAACUUAACCUUGUUCACUGAUCCAUGAAAUGAGGUCGAGGUCAAGUGAAAACUGUCUGACAGACAUGAGGACCUUGCAAGGUACGCACAUAUCAAAUAUAGUUAUCCUAUUACUUAUAAUAAGAGAGAAUUCAACAUUACAAAAAAUUUGAACUUUUUUU
Molecule: long non-coding RNA, 548 nt
Filed under: Mytilus galloprovincialis (Mediterranean mussel)
Lineage: Eukaryota; Metazoa; Mollusca; Bivalvia; Mytilida; Mytilidae
Source: RNAcentral